ACCUAACUCUUUCUUCAUGCCUAACACAUGCAAGUCGAACGAGACCUUCGGGUCUAGUGGCGCCCGGGUGCGUAACGCGUGGGAACCUGCCCUUAGGUUCGGAAUAACUCCCCGACAGGGGUGCUAAUACCGGAUAAUGUCUUCGGCCCAAAGAUUUAUCGCCUUUGGAUGGGCCCGCGUUGGAUUAGCUAGUUGGUAGGGUAAAAGCCUACCGAGGCGACGAUCCAUAGCUGGUCUGAGAGGAUGAUCAGCCACACUGGGACUGAGACACGGCCCAGACUCCUACGGGAGGCAGCAGUGGGGAAUAUUGGACAAUGGGCGAAAGCCUGAUCCAGCAAUGCCGCGUGAGUGAUGAAGGCCUUAGGGUUGUAAAGCUCUUUUACCCGGGAUGAUAAUGACAGUACCGGGAGAAUAAGCUCCGGCUAACUCCGUG
Molecule: ribosomal RNA, 433 nt
Filed under: uncultured bacterium
Lineage: Bacteria
Description: partial 16S ribosomal RNA
Rfam family: Bacterial small subunit ribosomal RNA
Source: RNAcentral